RNAcentral lists this ribosomal RNA (587 nucleotides) under Hanseniaspora uvarum. RNAcentral's name for it is "eukaryotic LSU rRNA". It matches the Rfam family "Eukaryotic large subunit ribosomal RNA", at positions 52 to 655 of the family's 3401-position model. The record is from RNAcentral. Lineage: Eukaryota; Fungi; Ascomycota; Saccharomycetes; Saccharomycodales; Saccharomycodaceae.
GGGGGAAAGGAACCCAAUGGGGUUUCCUUUGGAACGGGGGAGUGAGCGGUAAAAGCUCAAAUUUGAAAUCUGGUACUUUCAGUGCCCGAGUUGUAAUUUGUAGAAUUUGUCUUUGAUUAGGUCCUUGUCUAUGUUCCUUGGAACAGGACGUCAUAGAGGGUGAGAAUCCCGUUUGGCGAGGAUACCUUUUCUCUGUAAGACUUUUUCGAAGAGUCGAGUUGUUUGGGAAUGCAGCUCAAAGUGGGUGGUAAAUUCCAUCUAAAGCUAAAUAUUGGCGAGAGACCGAUAGCGAACAAGUACAGUGAUGGAAAGAUGAAAAGAACUUUGAAAAGAGAGUGAAAAAGUACGUGAAAUUGUUGAAAGGGAAGGGCAUUUGAUCAGACAUGGUGUUUUUUGCAUGCACUCGCCUCUCGUGGGCUUGGGCCUCUCAAAAAUUUCACUGGGCCAACAUCAAUUCUGGCAGCAGGAUAAAUCAUUAAGAAUGUAGCUACUUCGGAAUGGUAUUACCUUUUGGAAUUAUGGUAACCCGGAAUGGAGAACGGCCCUCCGCCAAGAAGGUGGCCUAAUGGUUUAAUGGCCCCCCUCUG